UGAAAAAAAAAGUUCAAAAUAAAUAUUUUUUAUAAAUUCACAAAUUACUUAUAUUUGGAUACAAUUCUAAAAGCAUAUAUUCUUUUUUAAUUUUUCUUGUUUUUUAAGUUUUUAUAAAUUUAUUUUAAUAGAAUAUUUAAAAAAGAUUAUAUAUAAAUAAGCUUUUAACUUAUUUCAUUUAAAAUAUAAUAAAUAUAUCAAUUUAAAAAGUAGUUUUUUUUUCAAAAGAAUUAUUCAUAAAAAAUAUCAAAUAAGUUAUUAUUUUUUAUAAAAGAAUACUAAUAUAACAUAAGCAUUUUUCGUAUAUCAAAAUUAAAUAAAAAUACAUGUAAUUUUAUAAAAUUAAAAAAAUAAGAAACAAUAAUAUAAUUAAAUAAUUUGAUCCAGAAAUGUUAUAUAAUUAAGUUUUAGAUGAUGUUAACUUAAUAAAAAAACUUGAAAAAUUUAUAAGAAUAAAAUAAUCAAUAUGUUAAAAAAAACUUGUUAAAAGAAAAUUUAUAGACUUAAAAUUUAUGUAUAUUUGAUUUUGUAAAUUUUUUAAUAAAAAAUACUUUUGGUCAGUCAAUUUUUUUUGGCUCAAGGCAUAUGUUUUAAGAUCAAGUUUAAAGACAUGGAUUAAUUUGAAAACUCUACCCUCCCUUAAAAUUGAUUUAGCCUGUGUCAUUGUGUUUGUUUCCAACGAUCAAAGCAGAUUUGUAAGGGCGAUUUGGAGGGGAAGAUGAAAAAGAUACGAAGAUAUUUGUAAAGAAAGACAAUAAAUUUACAUAAUUCUCCUUGUUUUUAAAUAUGUGGCCUGAUUCAAUUCAACAUAUUUUUAUCUUGCUAAUUUCUAUAAACCAAAUUUUAAUUUAAUAUAUUUUUAUCAAUAUUUUUUUUUUUCAUUUUUAAUAAUCAGUCAUAUUUAAUAAUAAGACAAUAUAUUGAUAUAAUGCGAUCUCUUCUUUUGAUAUAAUUACAAUGCAGGGUGAAAAAAAAAGGUUGAGAUGGAUGCAUGCGCAAAGGGAUGAGAGUUGAGCGUGUUAAGAUGUUGGAGCUAAAGUUUGGAAUUUUGCUUUGUUAGGAAAAUAUGAGAGGCUUUUGGGUGAGAAAAAGUGAAAAACAGUGAUUCGUGGAAUGUGGGGCUAUGCAUAUGCAAAAUGCAAAAUGCAAAAUGCAAUAUGCAAUAUGCAAUAUGUAAUAUGCCUUUUCUUCAUCUGUGGUAUAUGUAAUUAUUCUCUUGCCGAGUCUUUUGCUUAUACUACGUAGAAUCCAAUGCAUAGUAUACCAUUCACUAACAUCAAUUAUAUUGCUACAAAAUGUAACAGAUGAAACAGUUGCUUUUCUGUUCUUUAUGAGCUCUUUGACAUCCUUUGCUUUUGAUCAUUGUUUUAUCUGGCAGCUAUAGAACCGGCACCUCGUGCAAACAGAUUCUUCUGUACCAACUUUUGGACCUUUUUCUAAGAAACAAAUAACGGAAACAGUUCUUCAUGUACAACCACAGUCUUCACUGCAAAAUUUUAAAACAUCACCAUCUUUAUUCACUAAAUUACAAACAUAACAGUAUUUAAGCUCAUCGAUCCAAACUUUACCAACAUUUACAACUUCUAAUAUAAAUCAGGAUUUAAUAUAUUCGCACUUUCAAAACCAUAUUCACGUUAAUCAAAGAAAUCAUUAUAACUGAAAAAGAUUAGUAUCAAUCGAUAAAAUAUGGUGGAUGAAUAAAAUAAAUAUAAUAAUUUAUAUAUAAAAUGACAGAAAAACUGUGAGUAGAGAUAUUUAUAAGCUUUAAAUUAUAAAUAAUCUACAUUUUAUAUUAUUGUUAAAAAAGUAUAUAAAUUAUUAAUAUAUAAGUUAACCUCAACUUAAUUAGCAGUAAUUUAAAUAAAUAUUAAAAAUUAAAAAUAAAUAAUAUUAAUGUCAACUACAUCAAUACCAAUCUUAUUUAUUUUAAUUAGUCUAACAUUAAUUCAAAUAUUUAUUUAUUAAAAUAAUUAAUAAUAUUAAAUAAAAAUAUUUUUUAUUACAAAUAAUUGUAUUAAUGAUUUUAAUACAAUUAUAAAAAAAUAAACAUAAUAAUAAUAUAUAUCUAAAACAAUUAAAGAAAAUCACUAGAUGAUAAGAAAAAAUAUCUUGUACCAUCACUCUCAUCAUUCUUCAACACUUCUCACUUAUGCUCACACCAAUAAUAACAAAAAAGAAAAAAAAAACACAAAUGAACACUAAGGGUGUGUUUACUUUGAUUGAUAGAUUUAAGAAACACAAAAUAUAGAUUUGAGAGUAAUUUGAGUGUAUUUUUAAGGAAUUAGGAGAUAAUUUAAAUUGAUUUUGAAAUAAAGUUUGUGAAAGUUUGUAUAUAUAUGAUAAAUAAAAAAAUUGUUUUAAUUGAUAGAAAAUAAAGAUUACCAAAAAUAUCUUUAGUGAUAAAAGUGAUAUAAAAUAAUAUUUAUUAAUAAUCUAAAUAUUUCUUAAAAUUUUAUAAGAGUAAAAAAAGUCAAAAUUAAUUAUGAAAAUAAAAUAAAUUUGUUUUUAAAUAAAAUGAAGUAAUUUUGAAUAAAAUUUUAAUUUUUUAAAAAUAUAAUAUUUGUAAAAGCUAUUAUAAGAGGAAGUAAAAUAAAAAUUAAUUAUGAAAAUAAAGUAACUUUUAUUUCAAUAACACUAAAGGAAGAUCAUGAUGUAUUUCUCUAGAUCAAGAUACAACUUCGUGUUUUUCAUCUUCAAUCUCACGUCAUGAUCUUCGUAUUCAAAUUUUAAUUAUCUAGAAUCAAUUAGUCUUAAAACUUUGAUUAAUAAUUAUUAAAUGGAACGAGAACAAACAUAUCAAUUAUUCAAAAUUUAUUCCAAAUUUUCACACUUCAGCGAUUAUUCAAAAACAAUUUAUUUUAAAAUAAUAAAACUCUAUAAAAAAAACACUUUAUAUUAAUAUAUUUUAAUAUUAAAAUAGUCAAAUUUAUUGUUUUUAAUAUUAUCAUUUUUAAAAUAGGGUUAAAUAUGUUUUUAGUCCCUAUAUUUUGGGGCGAUUUUGGUUUUAGUCCCUCUUUCAAACUAAUGUACAAUUUAGUCUUUCAACUUUAGAAAAUUCUGGUUUUAGUCAUUUUUACCAAAUUUUUUUUAACUUUAUUUGCUGUUCAAACGCGUUUCUCAGUUAACAUUGAAGCAAAAAUUUGUCAAACAGUAUAAACAAUCCAAAUGCUAUAAUGAAUCGUGCUUAAAAUAGUGUAAACAAUUUUUCGCUUUUAAAAGUAAAUAGGUUUUGAAUUUAUUAUUGGUAAUAUUCACAUAAUUAUUAUUAUUUUUUUUUUGCUGUGAAUCAGAAAUUUAUUGUAUGACUUCCAAAACUAGUUCUUUUUUUUUCCUUCUGGAUUGUUAAAAAAAAGGAAAAAAAAUUAAAAAAUGGAUUAUAAUAUAUUUAAUUAAUACUUAUCAUUCUUUUCUUCAAACUAAACCUUAUACAUUAAACUUUUCACUUUAUUCCAAUAAUCUUAAUUUUCACUUAUUUCUUAAAAAAAUAUUUUGCUUUACUUCUUCAAAAUGUUUUCUAGCAAUAAAAACUAGACAAUGAAAGGAAGAAGAAAAAUACAAAUUAGCUGAAGUAGGUGACUUGGUUGAUUUGAUUGUCAGCUGUAGACUGACAUUGAUCUUUUGAACUUGAAAAAACAAUUUUGAUAAUAUAACAAUAAAGACUUUUAGACCUUUUUGACAAUUUUUUAAAUAAAUAUUAUUUAAUAAGGUUAUAACUAUAAAUAAACCGUCUUAAAUAUGAUUUAUAAUAAGUCUCAUUUUAAAAUAUGACUUCCAAUAAAAGUCACAUUAAAAAAUAAUUUUAAAUUUUAAUUAUUUUUCAAAAAGAAAAAACGCGUGUUUCAAGCUAACUCUAGCUUCAACUUGAAAAUAUUAUAUUUUUUUCACGUUUUCUUUUAUAGAAAGGAAAAAUAAAAAAUAAAAAACAUAAGAGAAAGGGAUGAUAAAUGUAUAAAUAAUAAAAAAUUUAUUGUUGUUUAUUUUAUUAUUAAUAUCAAUAUUAUUUAUCAUUAAUAAUUUUUUAUUUUUAGUAUUUAUUCAUUAUUAUUAUAACAAAAAACCAAUAUAUUAUAAAAAAAAGUUAUUAUAAGGCAAUAAAAACCAUGUUUUAAUUCUCUACUUGAAAAGAUAUAUUUCUAUCUAUCUAUCUAUAUAUAUAUAUAUAUAAUUUUUGAAAUUAAGUUUAAAAACUAAUAUAGCCUAUAGAAAUAUAUAUUAAUUAGAAGAGUUUAUUGAUACUUUUGAAUGUUAUUUAUGUUAAAACUUGUUGGUGAUCACGUAUUUAUAAAAGUUCGUGUAAAGAAGGAAGUGGCACCGUAUAAAUAAAAAAUUGGUUUGAUAUUUGUCAUCGCAACUUUAUAUAUUUCUUGGUUGUAUAAAGACUUUAGUAAUUAUGUUUCAUGAAAAUAUUUACAAUUGUUAUUAAACAAAUUGUAUGGAAAAUUUUAUAAUUUUUCAAAAAAGAUUACAUAUUAGAUAUAAUAGUUUUAUUAAGCAUGGUGUAAAGAUAAGGUCUACAAAAUUAAACCAUGUUAAGUUUAUGAUAUAAUUUUAUUUUUAUUUUUACUUAUGACAUGCUUCCGCGUUAUUUCUUUUUAUCAUUAUAUGAUUUUCAAGAAAAAUUCCUUAUUUUGCAUUUAUGACAACAUGUACUUAUAUAUGACUUAUGUUUCUCUUAUAUAUGGAAAACAAGAAAGAAAGACAAAAAUAAAAAAAAAUAAAAAAGAAAUAAAAUAAAAAAUUUGUUUAAUUUAAAAAUUAAUGAAACAACAGACCAUUUUAAUUAUUAUUAACUUUUCAAGUACUUAUUAUUAUUAUUAUUAUAAUAGUAAAGAGUAAAACAAUCAUAAAUUAUUAUAACUGAUUAUAAAUCAGGUACCUGCUCUUCCUCUCUCAUUAUCUGUUUUUUUUCACCUUUUCUCAUUUAUAUAUUCCAAUAGUCGUUUUAUUUUUUCACAUAUUCAUUUACUUUCUGUAAAAUAUUUUGGAUCUUACCAAAUUUGACUGUAGAUCUAGAGUGAUGGUUGAAUAUUUGUAAUACUUAGAAUUCAAUCACUUGUUAAUUGGGAAAGAAAUUCAUUUAUAAAAGCCUUUCCAUCACUCAGAAUAGUAAAAAUGUCUUUAUCUUUAUAAAAAUAAUAGUGAGUAUAAGUAACUAGUAAAUCAGUAUUAUUCGAAAAUAGUAAUUGUAUUUAUGGAAUUGAUGGUCUUAUAUUUAUAUUAUCAUAAUUACUAAUAUUAAUUAUGAUAGAUGAAUCUUGUUUUAAUAUAAUUAAGUUUGAAUUGUUCUAAAAUAAAAAAGGUUAAAGAAUAUUUUUGAAUUGUGUUAUGUAUGUUUAUUUGAUUGAAUUGAAUAAGAUUAAUUUCUAAUUUCAUAUUGUUACAAUUUUUAUUUUACUAAAAUAUUCCUAUUAUUUAUUAUUUUUAUUUAAAUAAAAUUAUUUUCUAUUAUCAAUGAUUAUAAUUCAGUUUAUUUUACUACUUUCAUAAAAAAAAAAAAAAAGGUCCAAAUUACUUAAAAAACUGAAAUUGUGAGAAGUUUUACUUUUUUUCAAUUAUUUAUUGGAUAAAUUUUAAAUAACUAAUAUGCUUUUAUUAAUAAUAAAUUCAUGAAUUUGUAUGUCUAUUGUGUACUUAUUGCUUACUCGUUCUCUAAUUUCAAUAUAUGAGUUCUUUUUACUUAAUGAAUAAUAUUUAUAUUUUUAAUAUUCAUUUCAAAAUUAAAACUCAAUAUAUUCCAAUGCCGAAAAACUAAUUGAUAAUAUUUAUUAAAAAAAUAAUAUAUAUUUACAAUAUUCACUUACACAUUUAAUUUAUAUAACACGUUAUUUAUUAAAUAUUGUUUCAUCAUUAAAAAGCUUAGUAUUAUUUAUCUAAUAAAAUCACAAAUUUUCAUUACAUCAUAUAUAAAAAAAAAUACCAUCCAAAAAUAAUUGUAACACGCAUCUUAUUAUCAAUCACAUUACAACAUAAUUUAAUAUAUGAUUCUGUAUAUUAAAUAAAUAAUUUAACUAAUUUAUUUAACUCAUUACAAUAAUUAAUAUAUAUUUUAUUUUAUAAAGGUUUUUAAUUGUAAUGUCCUAUACAAUUACAGUCAUGCUAAUAGUAAUUAUAAUAAAAUUAUAUAUAUAUAUAUAUAUAUAUAUAUAUAUAUAUAUGUGUGUGUGUGUAAUAUAAUUAAUAAUAUAGGAAAUUUCUCUUUAUUAUCAUUUUAUAACCUUAUUUUAAUUUACAAAAUAUCUUAUAAUUAUCACAAUAAUUAUGCACAAGGAUGAACUUCUUGAAAAUAAGAAAUAACUUCAUAUAAUUAUGAUCAACAAUAUAAUAAUCAUAAUUAUGAACAGUUUUUAGUUUCUUUUAAAAUGAAACUGAAAUACGUUUUCACUUAAUUAUAAAAUAUUUUAUAAGAAUUUUCAAAAUAAAAUAAUUAAAAUGUAAAUUUAAUUUUUAAUUUUAAAAAAUAUAAGCUUUUAUACCUUUUUUUAAUGAUUUUUCUUAUCAUUCUCAUUAGUAUAGUGUCUUAAAUUAUUAUUAUAUUUAUUAUUAUUAUGACUUUACUAUCUUGAGAAUGAUUUUAGAAUAAGAAGUUUGUAAACUAAAUAUUUUACAAAUAAAAAUUAAAAAUUUACAAAGAGUAAAAAAUAUAUGAAAUUAAAAGUCAUUUUGAAAAUUUAUAUUUAAAAACCAUUCUGAAUGGAACCUUGGCCAGCUGGGCAUGAGGCUACAUUGGCCACUGACUCACAGGAACAUAUUAUGAGUAGAUUGGACCAAAAUAUGCUCUGAUCAAUCAACAUCAAACAAUUUUAAUUAUCUAGGUAUGUGCUAUGCUGGAAUGAUUUAAAUAAUUUUAUUUUUCUAAUAAAAAUGGUCUUUUUGUAAACAUAUAAUGCAUUAUACAUUCUUGAAAUAUCCUUUUAGUACUUCACGUACUCCUUUUAAUAGAUAAUUUCGCUUUUUGCUGAUUAAAAUAAAUCGAUGAUAUUACAAAAAAUUGUUCUUCAAAAUCUUUUCACGUUGUUUGUUUUAAAUGACUGAAUUUGGUAGUUAAUUCAAUCUUACGAAUACAACAAACCUACUAUCAAAUUUUAGAAGACUAAUUUUGUGUUUUAUUAAACAUGCAAUGUCUUAUGUUGCAUUUAACUAAGUUAGAAUUAAUUUUUUAAAAGAUACUAAACUUUUUUGCUUAUCUCAGUAAUAGCAAAGCAUACAAUGACAACAAAAGCAUAACCCAAAUGUACGUUACGUUUGACCUCGUUCAACUUGUGUCUUCAAUUAACUUUCUUCCACGUGCUGCUUCUGUGUCUCCGUGAUAAUCAACUUACAGGUUAAUCUAAUCUUUAUUUUCAACGUAAUGAUCCAAGUGACACACUUCAUCGGAAAUGUUCUAUAUAUGAACAUAAAAAGACAAACGGCAUAGCUUAUAACUUCCAUCCAAAUUUUAACUAGAUUUAGAACAUAUCUAAGAAUCUGAAGAUAACACGAGCUAUUAUACUCGUAUAUACAUACACUCAAUUAACUCAGUUUCAUCUCUCUCUCUAUAUAAUCUCUUUAUUUUUGUUGUAAUCUUUAUUUUUGUUGUAAUCUUUAUUUUUUCCUUUGUUUUUAGGAAUAAUAGUAGGAUUACAGAGUUACACUCGUUUGACCUGCUUGCUUUUUGUAAUAGGAAAGUGAAAAAUACUAUGUCAAAUAAAUAAGUAUAAAAAUGUAUCAGAGUAUUUUUUUUUUCUUUUUUGAGUGACUUUAGAAUUUAUGAAUUAACAAGUUGACGUACAGGAAACAAAUAUAAAAGUGUAGGCGUGAGAAAAUAAACAAGGGAGCAUAGUUUGUUGGUAGAAAGUUUGGCUAAUUAAUUAUUGAUUAGAGAUAAGCAAUCAGCUGCAGUGGUACUGGGGAAAUUGAAGAACAUGAAAGUUAAUAAUUAAGGUCUAAUGAAAAGAGAACUACAUGCAUGGAUAAUCCCAAGAGCUAGUCAAAGUGUAGUAGUAGUAGUUCUUAGUUAUAUCAACAUAAUCACUCUUAAGCCACUAAUAGAUGCAUAUUAAAGUUAAGGAAUCAGAGUUGCUGAGGUUGAAAGGUUGGUGAACUCGGAAAACUUUUGUUCUUGCAUUUCUUGAAGAGAAAACAGACUGGUGAAUUAGUAGGGUGAGACACCAACAUUAGCUGAAGCAUAAAACCCAUCUUUCAUGAGAACCUCUUCUCCUUCCUGGACAAAAGAGAAAAACACACCCACACACUCAGAAAUCAAGGUCAGGGUUAUGCAUUAUUUUGUCUGCAACAUUUUGCAAGAAGAGGGUGCAUGAUAAUUUACCUGCUGGCACACAUUUGUCUUCUUCACAGUCUGAUCAGGCAUGAGACCAAAGUGGAUGUGUGGGAAGUGGGCCCACUGACACACAAAGCACGUCAUACAUCAGAAGAAGUUCAAAGUGAGCCAGAAAACCUUUUCAUUAAUUUAUUGGAUUGUAGAACUAGGGGGAGGAAAUACUACCAAGUACUUGAAAAAAGUAUUUGAAAACAUGUGUUCUGGUGUAAAGACAUGUAUUAUUUUCUUGUCAAAGAUGUCAACAAAUCUAUGAAUAAUUAAUGGUAUAUAUUAGAUAUUUAGAUAAACGAUGAUAAAACGUUGCUUGUAAAAAACUAGAUAAAACAUGCAACAUUUGGAAAGAAAACAUAUAUGCGAUUAACUGUUUAAUUUAUUGAAACCCUAGUACGUAAGAACCCCCAUUGUUGUAUUUGUUUAUUUAUUUAUGUAAGAGAGGAAAAAGGAUGAUACAUUCUUGGCAGCUGCACUGAAGGCUUCCCUGUGAGUUAUAUCGGGAUUGACAGACUUGAUGCGUUGGAUCUCGUCCCUGCAGAAAUAUACAUGGACCAUUCAAAUUUGCUUCAACUUUAAAAGCCUUUCAUAAGAACAAAGUACAAUUUUAAUAAAUAAAUAUGAAGUUGUUUAAAAUUUAAAUAAAAAUAGUAAUAAGAAGAAUAAUAAAAAUAGCGAAUGCUUUAAAAUGAAUACUCACUUGAUAAAGCGAUUGUACGCGGAGGGGACUCUCUGUCUCUUCUCAGGAGCUGGACAAUGGCACACAGUCAUAUAUCAAAAUCAUUUCCUUUGACUUUGCAGAUGCAAUAUUCAUUUUAUCUAGCUAUUUAAAUUCCCUAUUUUCCGUGGCAAGGGGCAUCACUGCCUCUGUCUGUAUACAACACAUCCAUGCUUCCGAUUCUGAUGAUACUCAGUGUUAAGGGUUUUAAGCAACUAUAAUUCCGGGGGAGAACAAGCAGCCCCUACAUGUUUUUCUCUUUCUACCAACUAUUUUCCUUCGUGCCACUUAUGAACUCCAAAGUAACCUAUGUUUUUCUUCAUCUCUGUCGGUGCUUAUAACAAAAAAAACUAAUAGAAGGGAAACUAAAAUAUUAUUGAUAAAAGUGAAAGUGAAACACCGCCUCACAGACUGUGCCCUAGAAUCAGAAAUACUAGUAGGUAAUACUUGCAGUUCUUUUACAUUAAUUAGUCUUCCCAUAUAUUAAAAAUCUUUUCUAGGCUUAAUUAGGGACGUGAUGUCUAUAUAGACCUUGUCAUUAUUUAGUUAUUAGGAUCAUUGAUAAGUUUUUAGGGAAUGUGCGGUUGGAAACAAGGAAGGGUUUUAGGUACUGUCGCGAUGAAACCUUUAAAAGACCCUUUUUCUUCUACCAAAGGAACUGGUCCUGUCAAUAUUGACCAUAAAAGCAACGACAUGAUUUAUUUUCCUUUGAAAACCAACAGUGUAUUUUACUACGCGAAUGCUGCUUUCAUCUAAAAGAUAACUUCAUUAUUGAGGUGAAUAAGAGAUCAUGGGUGAAUACUAAAGGGAACCUUAAUUUUGAACGAGAGAAAUCCGAGUUAUUUUUCAGACAUAUAAAUGUAAAAAUAAAAAUAAAAAUAGAAGAGUAUAUUUAUCUCACGUCUGUUUAUGAUCGGUGGCCGUGGAAGCUCAUCAGCUGCAGUCCUGGCAGGCAUAGAGAACUCAUUUGAAGCACUUAAAUUUGCUUGGUUCAUAAGAAAAUUUGGAGAUGGGUUUGGUAUCUCCUCCUGCAAAAAUGGAAUAUGUCAUCCACCAAGCCAGAAAUAAAUUGUACUGAGAAUGAACCCAACACCUCUUUAACUCAUAGUCCAUAAAUAAGAAGAGGGUAACGGUGUACUAACACUGAUACAUUAAUUUAUUAAAAAGACGAGUAGUAAAUUGAGAAUAAAAGAGAAGUAUGGUGAUGUAUAGAUAGACAUAAUCAGUACCAAAAGGUUAUGGGAUGGGGAGAAGAAAGAGUGACCCAAAUGAAAUUGAGUAGGAGAUGGCACAAGCAGGCCGCGCAUGUUCACUGGCAGAAGGUUAGUGCAAUGGCCGCAUCGGACAGUAACUGUCUUGAACAAGCUUGUGCAGGGAACACUUACCUGAAACAUGGAAGGGGAGAAACAUGAAUGAAAAAAGUGAUAGAUAAUUUGGUGAGAGAGAAAGAAAAAAUUAAAGAGGAGUAGCGUGUUGGGAGUGAGGUUGGCAUUAGGUGAAGAAAAACCCUAGUGUCGGAAAAGUGGGGGAAAGAGGUUUGGGGGUAAGAAAAUGUAAAAUGUGUUCAUACAGCAAGGACGGUGUCACAAAUAUUGCAGUGAACAUAACAAAGCUGUUCGGAAGGAGGGAGGUGGUCCAGUGAUAUUGUGGUGGAAGAGGAUGACAUUUUGGGUAGCCCCCUUUUUUCGUUCUCUUAUAUUCGGUUGAUGAUUGGUCUCUUGAUUGAUUGAUUGAUAGAUGGACAGCUUAACCACCACACCUUGGAUAUGCUUUUUUUGAUUAUGAGUUGUGAAAGAAAGGUGCAGAGAGACAGAGAAAGAGUGAGAGGGAAAGAGGCUGAUCUAUUUGGUCUGGUCUGGUUGAUAGAUAUAUACUACGAGAGGGAAAGGCACAGAAUUCACCCCUUCUCUUUCUCUGUUUAUUGCUCUUGUUUAUAGAGCACACAAGAGCUUCCCAUGGAUGCUAUCCAUGCAUGCAUUCAUGCAUGUAUCAUGUAUGCAUUCAUGUGACAUUAACACAUUCAUCAUCAUCAUGAUCUGUGUACAGGGAAGAGGGCUUAGUUUGUUUGUACAUGAACAUGGUGAAGUUAUUAUAUAAUUAACAUGGGAACAUAUGUGGUUGGCAUUUCGAUGUGUAUGUGUGUGUGUGAGAGAGAGAGAGAGAGAGAGAGAGAGAGAGAGAGAGAAGCGGCAGAUGUGGGGGAGAGGAGCCAGAAAGGGACGUGUGCAUGGAGUGAUAUAGCUUUCACACACUCACCUGUUGUUUUCAAUAGUUAAAGAGGGUCUUGUCUUGUGGUGCGUUCUCAAAAAAACACUUUGAUUUUAAAAUCAAUUUUCCUAAAUUUCCGAACAAAGGAGAAUGAAACCCCACUACUCCACCACCCAGUGAGCCCUAACACUUAUUUCUCACUUUCUCUUCCUCUUCCGCUUCCUUAGGGCUCCUCACUCAAAGCGUGAUUCAAGCUACAGCCAGUGAAACUAGAGAAACUCCAUAAUUAUAAUAAUAAUAAUAAUAACAUCAUUAUUGUUAUUACUAUUAUUUAUGAAAAAGAGAUAAACAAGUUUACUUUUGGUGAUUUGACAACUCCCUCUCGCUGGCCUUACACAGACUGAUACGCAUUUAAGUCAGUAAAAAAAACAUCUCAGCGAGCAGACUUUCCUCUUGCUACUUACCACCUUUGUCCUUUCCUAUAUUUCUAUUUCUUUUGACUUAUGUUAGCUAAUUGAGUUAGAAUCUUGUCAUGUAAGUGAUUUCAAUUUCACAUCAAAGCCCCCAAACCAGCUCUUCUUGCAUCUUUUAUACAAAAUAAAAGAAAACAAUAAAGUAAAAUGUGAGUGAAAUAGAUAGUCUAACGGAAUGAAAUAUAUAGGGAAAGAAUUUGCGUAAAUUGUAUAUGUAUGCAUAAUUUUGUUGCUAUAUGUAUAUAUAUAAGAUCUAGCUAUUUGAAAUUUGGUGAAAUUGAUGGUUGUUAACUCCUAACUUGAUCCAUUGAUCUGCGAAAGAUCCGAUCAGAACCGUCGCCAUCCAUGCUCAUGUAAGCCCUGUGGGAUUCCCUCAUCCCAAAAAAGACAACCGUGUCAUCAUCCAUUGUAUAUGGCAAGGGUCAAGUGCUUUCUAUGUGCAAGAUUAUUAAAUGUGUUCCUAACAGGGAAGUUGAGAACUUUAUUCGCCCCUUACAAUCAGAUAUCAUUAAGAUGAUUCUAUAUAUUCAAAUCCACCAGAACAGUUAGUCUUUUUAUAAAAAAAAAUAAUAAAAAAACAAUAUUCUACCCAGUUUUGUUCAUUUCAUCAUGUAAUUUAUUCCAAACUUUUCUCCCUUUUAUAUUUGUUUCAUGAUUAUCUUAAAAGUAGAAGAUAUUUUUGUAAACAACUUUUCAAACAUAUUGAGAGGGAAAGAACAAUUGUUUUUUCAAAAAUGAAAGGAGGAUAUGAAAGUUGUCUGGCUUUAAUUGCAGAAGAAGUAUUUUCUUAAUAUAAAACAAUGUUAAAGCCAUAGAUGCAGACUGGUUUAACUUUUUGGUUACUUAUUCAAUCAUAAAACUGCGUCUUUUCCUUAUCUCCUCCGACUGGAAACUGCAAGAAGGAAAUGAAAACGGAAGACAUGUCGAUAUCAACAGUAUUGUUUGGAAGAGAAAAAGUUGAUAAUUGAAAUGGCACAAGGCUUAAUGUUGAAGAAAUGUGUUAUUGGUAUAUAGCUCCACUUGUUUAUUCCUUUUACUAUUAUUUGGAAUCUGACUGUUAGUACUCGCGGUGAUAACUGAUAACUGGUGGCAAUAGGUAGUCAAGUUGAAAUUGUACUUGCAUGUUUUGUCAACAUUUGGGCUGUUCCCAACUUUCCAUUGAGUUAGAAGUCAUUCUUGAUGCCUCUUCAUCAUACGACAUUACUAAAGCAGCCAAGGGAUGAGGAGAGCAAAACCUGGAAACAUUUUUCUAUAAAAAUGCAAUAACUAUAGUAAAAACCCACCCUUUCUUUGGAAUUUUUUUCUUUUUUACAUUACUAAAUAUAUCUCAAUUCUUACUUUUCACCUCACUUUCUGUUUUUCAAAUAACUUUAAUAUCAAUAAUGGUUAACAGUAAACUUAUUCAUUAAAUUAUAUUUAAAUUAAGUUUUAAUUGAUAAUAUUAAUUAUUAAUAUCAAUAAUGGUUAAAUCUUCGAAAACUAAAAAACUUAUUAACAUUGAAAUUAUCUAUUAACUAUUUACCUACUGUUUCCUUAUUUAUUUCAAUAGUUUAUUUUUUAAAAAAAGUUUUAAAAAUAAUUUUAAUUUUAUUUCAAUUUCUGCUUUUAAAAACCAAUUUUUUAUGAGAUGUAAAUUCGACAUAAUAAAGGUCAUAAUUCAAAGAUAUGGACAUACUUUGACUAUUCAAAGACUGAAUCCUAACCAUACAUGUUUCUUUUAAAUAAAAUGGAUCCGGGAAAAAUCCCAUCCUUUGAAUAAUUGAGGUACAUUGUAAUUUGAAUUGAUAUAAAUAUUAAGGUAUAGUAUAUAUGUUUAGGUAAUGAUUGUGUUUGUGAAAAAGAAGCUAAAAAAAGUGAAAUGAAAUUUUUGUUUAGAUUGAGAAAAUGUAUGUUGCAUUUAAUGUGGAAAUGCAGAAGAAGAAAAGAGAUUGAAGAAAAAGAUGAAGGGUAGGUGGCGAAAAGUUGGAAUUAUUUGUAGGAAAUGCAGAAAUAAGUAGAGUGAUGUAGUGAGAGAGAAAAGGCUAGUGGAAUAGAGUAAGAUUAGGGGGUUGUGUUGUGAGGGCAAUAUUAAACAUGAAUAGAGAGAGUACAGAGUUCAGAAGUUUAGAGGCAGUGGGCAGAUUUGGCAGUAAAAUUCAGCAGAAACCUACUUAUUACUUAAUUAAUCUCUUGAACCACCAAACCAAGGUCUAGUCUCUUCACCUUUCACUCCUAACUAAGCAUGCAUGACACAUGACACCAACUGUACUUAAGACAAACCUUUAUACUCUUUUGUUUAUCCAUCUUUUUUAAACUCAAUGAAACGUCACCAACAUCACCCUUUUAUAUUUUUUUUCCAAUAUCUUCAUUGCUCUUAUUUUGGUCCUUAAGUUUUGAAUUAUCUCAAUUGGGUCAUCAUUUUUGUAGAAAUGUACACAUUUUACCCUAACUGUUAAAUUGUCUCAAACGACGUUAAUUGAUGUUGAAAUGAUUUUUUUAUUUUAGGCUCAAUUCCUCCCUUGGUCCUUAUGUUUGUGUGAAAAUCUCAGUUCGAUCCUCAUGUUUUUCUUCAAGUCCUUAUGAAAUGCAAAUUUUACAACCCCCAACCAUUAAGUGUAUUGAGACGACAUUAACUUUGAAUUGAGGUGUAAUUUUUUUUUAUGUUUUAAAAUCAUUAAAUCCACGUACCUGUGGUCUUUCUUUUUCCUUCCAAUCACUUAUCACACUUCACGCAUUCCUCCACCUUCAAACCCUUAAACCCCUCGAUUCACACAUAUUCUUCCUCUCAAAAUAAAAAAUGUUGUCGUUGUCGACAGUUCAAAAAUUAUGACCCAAUUGAGACAGUUCAAAACUUGAGGAUCGAACUGAGAUUUUUACACAAACAUAAGGACCAAGGAGGAAUUAAGCCUAAAAUAAAAAAUUCAUCUCAACAUCAAUUAACGCCGUUUGAGACAACUUAAUGGUUAGAAUAAAAUGUGUGCAUUUUUACAAAAAUUAUGACUUAAUUGAGACAGUUCAAAACUUGAGGAUCAAACUUAGAUUUACACACAAAUAUGGAGACCAAUGAAGGUAUUAAGGUUAUAUUUUUCUCAUUAAUCUUCUUUUUUUCUCACCAUUUUUAUGCUCUAAAUUAUCUAUCUUCUUCUAAACUGCUCUGAAUGUACCCGGAGAAAAUCUUGUAUGCUCCUGAACAAAAUUUACCUCUUUCAACAUCCUUGUUUCAACCUCCACAAAUUUAAAUCAAAAGUAACCAGAGAAAACGAAUAUAUUUACUCCCUCUUUUUUUUUCAUUUUUUUUAGAAUAAACCACUCAAAACCUUUAAAUUUAGAGAAAACUUAUGUGUAACUGUAAUUACAUGCACUUCAAGAAAGAGAUGUAAAUUAAUUGUUUUUCUUAUUUAAUUAAAAGUAUAAAUUAUAAAGUUCAUUUAUUUCUUAUUGCAAUAAUAUAUUAACAAAAAGAUGUUUUUUUAUCAUUUGACACUAUUUGGUCAUAAACAAGUGGAGGAAUAUUGCUUUUAAUAUUUGUCGCAUUAAUCUGUAAUUUUUUUUCCUUCCAUCUGUAAAUGGACCUAUAACUAGUUGGGGGAUUCAAGGUCUGGACGAGUUUAGUUGGUUCUACACUGAAUCAUUAAUUUUUAAUUAAAUAAAUUUUAUAUUAAUAUUCGUCAAGUUCACAUUAAUAAUUCUUUAUUUUGAAACUUAUUUAAUUUAAUUUACACUUAGUUGACACUUAACAAUUUUUUUUAUAUUGUUUAAUUUACUCAAUUUAACCGACAUUAUUGAUAAUAUUUAAAAAAAAUAGUUUUUCACAUAAUAUUUAAUCUUCAACAAAAUAAAAUAUAAAUUAAAAAAUAGACUUCUUUUCUAUAGAAUAAAAAAAUAUAACUGUGGAUGAAAAAAAGAAACGUAAAUUAAGAAAACGUGUGUAAACGAAAGAGUGAAUGAAAAAGAAGAAGAGAAGAAUAUGAACGAAAAGUGAAAAAAGAAAAUGAAGAAAAAAAUAUAAAAUAAAUAAAUUAAUGUGAUAUAAGAUGGUGAAUGUGACGAAAGGAAAUAAUAUAUAAAAAUUUAUAUAAAAAGUGAGAGAAAAAAAUUAAAUAAUAAAGAUUUAUUAUAUUUAAUAUAUGUAUAUUUAAAUUAAAAAAUAUAUAUAUUAUUCUUAUUUAUUAUCAUGAAACACACAAAUUCACAACAUAUAAACAUAUAAACUAGUGUUAGCUUAAUCGGUGGUAAUUUACAUAGAUAUUAAAGAUAUAUUAACGUCUUAUACUAACUUUAAUAAAUAAUAAAAUAAAAAAUGGUGUUAAUUUUAUUAAUGAUAACUUAAAUAAAUAUAUAAAAUUUAGGUCCAUUAAACUUACAAUAAUCUUAUUUUUUUAAUAUUUUUUGAAGUUAAUGUCAACUUAAUCCAUGCUAGUGUCACAUUAAUACAAAACUUUUGCUUAUUAAGAAAAGUAAAAAAUAGUUAGCUAUUAGUUAAAGUUUGUUAAGCUAAUUUUAUUAACAUUUAAUAUUAAGAAGAUUUAUCAGUAUUGAUUAAGCCAAUGUUAAUAUGACAUUAACACAAAUAUAUAUAUUUAAUAAAAACGAAAUUUAAAUGUAGUAAUGAGUAAGUAGCUAAAUCAUUUAAAAAUAAUUUCACAUUUUUAUUUUAUUUUUUAAAAAAUAAUAAUCUUUUGCAACACGUUAAAAUUAACCGAGUCCACGUUAAUAUUUAAAAGCUAAUUUAUUUUUCUGUAGAUUUUUUUUUUAUAAAAGAUAAAUAAAUUUUGUCAUUUAAAUUAACACGUCAUAUUUUUAAUUAAAAUAGAGAAAGGUGUUCUGUAAAUUGUAUUUGCUUAUUUUGGUUAUUUUUUCUUAAACUAAAGAGUUAAAAGUAUAUUUUCACAUUUAUUAUUAUUGUUUUUUUUCACAUAUACAUGUGUACCCUAUACCAAAUCCUAAGUUUAGACGAAAAACAUAAAUAAUGAAGGUGUGGAACUAAAAGAAGUAAGAAAAGGUUAAAAUGAAAGCAAAAAGAAAACAAAUUAAGUUUAUUUUGUGUUUAAUUAUUUUGUUAAAAAGAAAACUAGGUACAAAUAAAGGCAUAAAUGACAGUGUUUAGUUCAAGGGAAAUGUAUAAUCACACUUACCUAGCCAUCUUUAAAUAAUAAUAAUAAAAAGGUUAAAUUACCUAUUAUUUAAACCAUUGUGAUUCUGUCUAAAAGUUCAUUUCACUAAUUCAUCAACAUUAAAUAGUUAGUUUAUUCAUAACAUUAAUUCACUUUUCAUUUAUAUUUAUAUAUAUGUAUGUAUGUAUUAAUUAAUUAAAUUACUGCAAGAGAGACACAACUUUUUUCAAAUAUAAUUGUUAUUCUUUUCAAAACAAUAUUUUCAAAGUAAAAUUACAUGUCCAAAAUUUUGUAUCUAUUUCAGUUACCAUUUAUUAAAUUAAGAAAAAUAAGCUAUAAUUAUUCGUGAAAUAAGAGAGACAAGAUAAUAAUAUAAAUAUAAUAUCAGAAAGUGAAAGAAAUACUUUUUAUAAAAUAUUAUAAAUGAAAAAGCUAUAAAACAAAAAAAAAAUAGUAAUAAAUUGUUAAGCAAAAUAGAAGGGGUGAUUCGUUUUAAAGUUAUUAAAAGUAAAAGUAAUUUAAAAUAUUUUAAAGAAAUAAAAAAUAAGAUGUAUUUUUUGACACACUUAAAUUUUUUACAUUCAUUUGACACUAUGUUUACUUACUUUUUUGUCUCUUCUUUCUUGAAAGAGUAAUAAUACCAUAACAUACUUUUACAUUCAUUUGACACAGAAUACAAAGAUAAGAUCAUCCAAAAAGUGUAAAGUUUUGUAAUUUUUCAAAAAAGAAAGAAUAAAAAAUAAGUAAAGAUAAUGUCCAAUAAAAAAUUUAAGUGUGUCAAAAAAUCAUUUCUCUUUUUUAAAAAAUUAUAAAAUUUUAUACUUUUUAGACCAUUUUAUCCUUGUAUUAUAUAUUAAAUAAAUGUAAAAGUAUGUUAUCGUAAUAUAUAUAUAUAUAUAUAUAUAUAUAUAUAUAUAUAUAUAUAUAUAUAUAUAUUUAGUGCAUGGAUGGAUGUGAUGGAUGGGUUGAUGAGUGUAAAGAAGGAGGAAGGAAGAAAAGGCAGUGUCUGAAAAAGCCUGGUGAGAGGUGUUUGUUGGUGUGUUUUGUGGGGAUUUGAGGAUCUUUCAAAUCUCUUGUUCUCAAUCUAUUGUGUAGAAACCGAUAAAGUAGAAAAUUCAAUGUGCAUGCCAUGCUAUUCCUAUUAUUUUAUUUCUCGCAAUUACUAGUGCCCUCUGCCUCUGCUCUCUCUUUGCCUCCAUCCUUCCCUCAGACACAAGUACAUUACAGUUUAAACAGAGGACGAUGCUCACAGUACCUUCUUCUUUUUUCUUUUUUUUUUUUUUUUUUUCUUUUCUCAAUAUUAAAAACUAUUUCUUUUUUAAAUAUUAGUAUUUUGUUCUCCUUUUCGAGUCUCGUUAAAUCAAUAAUUCCUUGUUCUUUCUUCAUCUUCUUCUAUAUUAUUCUUCUUUCUUUACAUUUUAAACUUUCACUUUUUUGCCUUUUGAUGUUCCAUUUUGUUUGCUUCUUACUCUCUUCUUAUUUUUAAACAUGAAAUUCGUAUAUUGAAAUCCAAAAUCAUAAUUAUAUAAAGGGCUUUCUUCUUUCACUCCCAACUCUUCUUCUUGUACUCCCACCUUUUUCAAGUUUCCCAUAUUAUCCUUUUUAUUGUUUAACUGAAUCUUUGAGUUUUACAAGGGUAAAAACCCUAAUUCCUUGUUUUCUUUCCUCACUUUCUCCUCUAGCUUUUGCGUCGCACACUACAACUUCAUCUCUUCUUUGUUCUUUUUCGUCUUGCAUUCAUCUCUUCACAUCUGUUGUUUUCUUCUUUUUCAACAAAAGUUUAAUCUUUAAGUUCAUUGGUUGUACAAGAUAAUAUUUUGAUUUUUGUGUUUUAAACAUUAUUGUUUUUUUUAAUAAUUGGGGUGUAGUGGGUUAUUCUUGCAUAACCGAAUUUGAAAUGAUGAAACGAAAUUUGGAGAAGGCAGAUUAUGAAAUCCAGAAUGUCUAGAAUGUGAAAUUCAUGAGGCCUAAAUAUGUGAAAGCUAUAUUUUGAAAUCCGUCAAAACCGAAUUCUGUAAUACAUGGCACUGAAUUCUAUAAUACGUGGGGCAUGGAUUAUGAAAUUCUAUAAUAUGUGUAUCAUAUUUUGAAAUCUGAUUUUAUUGAUUUUGAAAUCUGAUUUUGUGAAUUCUGAAAUUUCAAAAUGUUAAAUUCUCAAAUUAUUAAAAUUAUGAAGUGUUUUUUUUUAACGUUUGUGUUGUUUGUAAGUUAUAAUUUAUUUGGAGAUGGAAAAUUAUUUUUUAGACUUUAUGCAUUCACAUUAAGAUGUGAAGUAAAUUAAAGCUUAAACAUGGAAGAUUCAUUCAUCUUUUUCCCUAAAAGUGAAGUUGUUGAUGUUGAUUAUAUUAUGAAUUUUACAAUAUAAAAGGUAUUUUCUACACAAAAUGCGUUACUUGAGUGGCUUAAAAGUAUUAUUUUUUACCUUGGAUUUAUGUUGUUAGUAUGAGAUUUGAUACAAUUUCUUGUUAAUUCGAAAGGAAAAUAUGUGUUACUAAGACAUAAAAGGAGUGAAAAAUAUAGAAAUUAUAAAUUUGACUUUCGACUUAAUAUAAAUGAUUUGUUUAAGACUUUAAUUUAUCACCCUUAUGUUGGUAGAUUAAAAUCAAAUGAAAAAUUAUUGCAUAUUGACAUGACUAAGAGUCAUGUUAAAUCUGUUGACAUUUUGCUUACCCUUAAAACAAAAUAAUGAAGAUAAUGUCACAACAAUGAAAUAAUUUUACAAUGCCAAAUAUACUUAUAAACGAUCAUUAACAGGAUGCAAAACUGAAUUAAUAGUUAAUGAUGUUGUUAGAACGUAAUUAAUACAUUAAUCGGAGUAUAUGUAAAGAGGAUUAUGAUAAGGUUAAUGACUUAUUUUGGAUACAUCCUUAUGCAAUUAAGUUGAUGAACACAUUUAAUAUUAUUAUUGAUGGAUAACACUUACAAAAUCAAUAAAUUUAGGUUGCCUCUACUUGAGAUUAUUAGUGUCACAUAAAUAAGGUUGACUUUCUUUGUGGCCUUUGUUUUUUUAUCAAGUGAAUGAUAAAAUAACUUUGUUUGGAAUCUUGAAAGGCUAAAAGGGUUUUUUAUGACAUCUCAUGGUCUCCCUAAAGUCAUUGUUACUGAGAGAGAUAUUGCUUUGAUGAAUACAAUAAGGAUAGUGUUCCUUAAAUCUUCUUCAUUAUUUCCACAUUCAAAAAAAAUGUUAGAGCCAAGUGGAAAAUGUUGGUUGGUUCUAUGGAGGCAUGAGAGGUUGUCUUGGAUGCAUGGGAAAAAGUUAUGGAUUGUCGAGACCAUUCUACUUUUCCUUAUUAUUAUGUUAGGCGACUUCAUAAUGUUUGUAAUGUUUGAUCUUUAUUUUUUGAAUAUGUUAAUGAAUCAUGGAUAAUUUCUUAUAAAGAAAAGUUUGUAAAGGUGUGGACAAAGAAAGUCAUUAUUUGGGACAAACAAUGACAAAUAGGUAUGGUUAACUAAUUUUAAUUUAUUUGCUACUUUUACAUUUAACAUGUAAUUCUUGAUUUCAUGUAUUGUAGGAUUGAGUUAGAACAUUGGACUUUGAAGAAAGUCUUGAGAAACAUUAUGAGAGACUUGUGUUUGUGUUGGGAAGAAAUUCACAAUGUUACCACACUGCAACACAAUGAAAUUAAGGCGUUCUUUACAAAAAAAAUCUACAUCUCAAGAGUCAUGAUUUCAAUAUUGGCAAGAAUAAAAGACUGGUGGAUUUUGUGACAAGAUUUACUCCGCUAUGUAUUGCUGAUGAAUUUAAUCGGAUUAAAAAAUGAUGAGGACGAUGAUGAGAAUGGGAGAAAGUGAUUAAAGAAGGGUGAUGAGGACAUGAGGACAAGAGAGAAAAAAAGAAUGUAAGAAAGUAAGGGGGAGGGGGGAAGAGGGGUUGGGAGGAGAGAGGAGUAGGGUAAGGAGGAAGUGAUGAAAAGAAUAAAAGAAAGUGUAAGAGAAGAAGAGUGAGAGAUGAAAAAUGAUUUUAUCUUAAUUAAAGAUUGAGUAAAAUAAUCAAACAAUAAAAAAAAUAAUGGAAGAAAUUUGAAAAAGUUGAGAAUAUAGAAAAAAAAAUAAAAAUGUACGAAUAAAACCCCUACUUUAAAUUAGUAUGUAGGACUAAACACAUUAGCAAAAAGUAUCCAACUCAGAAACACAAAAAAAUAAAUACGGAUUUCAUUCCAUUUCAUAAAAUAACAAAAAUCAUACAUAAUAAAUACAUAACAAAUAUAUAAAAGGACAAUUUUUUCCAAUACUUUCAUAAUUUUUUUUACCCUAUAAUUUUUUAUAUUUUAGAUCUGUACAUUUUAUAUUCCAAAAUAUAUAAUUCAUGAUAUAUUUUUUAUUUUUAUAUUUUAGAAUUGUACAUUUAAUAUUCUAAAAUAUAUAAUUUGAAAUAUAUUUUUUAUUAUAUAUUUUAGAAUCUACAAUAUAAAAUAUAUUUUUAUUUGAUAUUUUGAUAUAUAUACAAUUCAAAAUAUAUUUGCACUCUUAUUAUAAAUUAAGAAUAUUUUUUUAUUUUAUUUUAUAUUUUAAUUAACGAUUCGAAAUAAUAAAAGAAUUAUAUUUUAGAAUGUUCAUUAUGGAAUACAAAAUUUUAUAGGGCUGCAAAUUGAAAUUUUGAUGUCUAAUAAUUUUGUAGCUAAUAAUUUUUUUUUGUUUUUUUAAAUAAAUUAUAAGUAUUUUUUUCAUAAUUUGAUGAUUCAACUUAGAAGUUAUACACAUUCUAAAAUAAAAUAUAACACUCUAACUACUUAUUGAAUAUUUCACACAUCUUUACUUUUAUAUAUAAGUAUUUUACAUUAUUCAUAAUCAUAAUUAUACAUUAAUACAUAACAACUUACAUCUAUAUUAUAAUAACAAUAAUAAUAAUAAUAAUAAUAAUAAUAAUAAUAAUAAUAAUAAUAAUAAUAAUAAUAAGUUUUAAUGUUUCAAUAGGUCCCUAUUUUUGUCUAGAGUCUCAAAUAACACCUUUUCUUUUUUAGCGUCUCAACUAAGUCCUUAUUUUUGUAAAAUUGAAUCAAAUAGGGCCAAAUAGGACCUUUCCGUUAAAUUAAUCAGACGGCGUUAAAGAGGGUAUGCUGACUGUGUAGUGUGUAUUACGUGGCAUUAAAAAGUGACUGAACUAAUUUUUUUUUUUGAAUUAAAAAAUAAGCUUAAAGUGAGGGUAAAGUUGGAAAGCACCCAUUCUCCUCUCCUCUGCAAUUACGAAAUCCAAACGAAGCCACAUUCAUCUAUGGCGCUCCAAUGGCGGCAAGAGCACGACGAGGGCAUCACUGACGGUGCAAUGAUGGCGUGAUUCAAUCAGAACCCUUCUUCCCUCUAUCAUUUUCAAAUUUUAGCACUUCCUCGCAGCAGAGAUGGCACGGCGGAGGUUUACUUUCUCCUCUACGUUCUGGAUCGCGACGCAAAAGGUAGGCUUCCUCCUCCUUUCUGUUUCUGUUUCGUCUUAUAGGGGGAAAGAGAUUUUGGUGGUCUGCGGCAUAAGGCAGUGAGGCCGUGAUUUGGCGAAAGCAGCGACAGUAUCGAGUUUGGGUUUAGGGUUCCUCUUGUUCUCUGAUUUUGGGGAUUAGGGUUUGCUGAAAUUAGGAAAUUAGGGAUUUCUGGUGUAAUUGGUUUUUUAUUCGAAUUGAAUUGGUGAUCUAUGUAUGGGUAGAGCAUUUCUGGUUUGUUUAGGGUUAGAUUUCUCGCCGCAAAUUUCUGGUAUGAAUUGGUUUGCUUUGAUUUUUUUUCUAAAUACUUUUUUUCCUUCUUUGGAUUGUAGAAACUAUUUAGAACAUAAUGACAAUUUUUAACUUUAUUCAACCACAAAUGUCAUCCAAAGAUGAUUCAUUAGAUGUCUGAUUUUCUGCCCAAUUGAAACUGUAAUUUUCUUAAAGAAAUUUGUGAUGUUCCAUUUUGAUUUUGGGUCAAGUCCACAAGGACUUUGUCACAACUCAAAGAGAAAAUAUUUUUCACACUAGAUGUCUUAUAGUUAGCAAGUUUUGCUCCAUGAUCAUAGACGAGGGAAGUUGCACUAAUGUGACUAGCACACGCGUAGUGGAAAAGCUCAAGCUACCCAUUGUUGUGCAUGCCAAGACCUACAAACUUCAAUGGUUAAGUGAGGAGGGUGAAAUCUUGGUAAACAAGAAAGUCCAUAUUUCCUUUUCUAUUGGCAAGUAUCAAGAUGAGGUUCUUUGUGAUGUUGUACCCAUGGAAGCAAUUCACAUUUUAUUAGGAAGACCAUGGCAAUUUGAUAGAAAUGUUAAACAUGAUGGUCUUACUAAUAGAAUGUCUUUUACUUACCAAGGGCACAAGGUAGUCUUAAAACCUCUAACUCCAAAGGAAAUACAUGAGGAUCACCUCAUCAUGAAGUCCAAGAGAGGUGAAGAAAGGAGAAGGUCAAGCUUAAUUGUCUCAUUUCUCAUAAAGAGGUCCUUCAAGAUAGAAAAGAGGAUAAAGAAACAAAAGAAAGGAAAGAAAGAGAAGAGAGAGAAAAAGAAGAAAAAGAGAGGAAAGAAAAAGAGGAGAAAGCAACAAAAGAAAAAGAGGAAAUUGUGAGAGAAAAGGAGAAGGAAAACGUCCUAGUCACAAAGAAAGUGUUACUACAUGCACAUUCCACUCCCAUCUUUCUACAAGAUUCAAGCCAUGACAGGGGAGUUUUUUCAUCCUUCCACUUUUCUCCAAUUAUUAAGCUUUCUUCUUUUUCUAAAAGCUUUUGUGAAAAUAUCCCACCUUUCUCGUCUCUUUUUACCACUUCUUCAUACACCAUUUCCAUCCCACAUCUUGAGUUAAUGUAUUCUUUUUUACACUUCACUCAAGACAAAAAUAAAAAUUUUUCAAAAGGAUUUUACGUUUUCCCUAAGCAAAUAAAUCCAAUUUCAAAGACCCAUUCUUUCAAUAUUCCUUUUCUAUAUACAUUGUUUGGUAAACAUCAAUUUAUUCACAAAAUAUUUGAUGUUUUUUGCAGUUUAACAUUUGAUCCAGGAGGAGUUUCCUUUGCUAUCUUUGUUGUAGGUUUUUCAAGAUUCGAGGUCGAAUCCUCUGCAACCUGGGGGGAUGAUAUGAUCAUAGAUGGGGCAACAAUGAAGAGCUCUUAGAGUGACAAAAAGAAUAGUGUAGGUUAUGGGGCUUAUAUUUUGCCUCUUUUGCUUUUGUUUCAUUUCUAGUGAGGAAACGUUUGAAGUAUAAGAUAACAUAAUUAGCUUUCAUGUUUUGAACUAAAAGAGAACUAGUUGCCUUAUAAACCCUUUGGAAUGGAGAGAUUUAAGCAAUGUGGGACUCAAAAGCCCCUAGAGGACGUACAACAGCUGCUGGCCAGCCUUCUCACUCAAAAGUCCCACAUCUCCUAGAUCUUGCAUCCUAACUCACUCCAAAGGCUAUAUAAGAAGGCUUAAGGGUCUCCUUUUUGUACCUUACCUUGAAUUGAAUUUGAGUUGAUUUGCACCUUUGCAAUCCUCUUUUGAGAUAGUAUUCUGUCUUCAAGUCUCUCUUUUGUGCAGACCUUAUCUUGCUCAAGCAAGUGGCGGUCCUCCUUUGAUGCUUAUCUUGGAGCCUCCUUCAAGUGGUGCAUCUUCAAGUCUUAAGUUUCCUCUUUCUUAAUCUCUUCCAUUUUUAAUUUCUUUUCCAUUAUCUUAAAUGUUAUUUAGAAUAUUCUCUCUAGGCAUGCACUUCCCCAUCAGGUUGUAGCUUUAUUUGAUAUCAAGAUAGACUAAUCCAGCCACAUGAUAUACAAUAAAUUCAUAUGAGUAGGCGUGGUAGAAUGUGAUGGGUUUGUUAGGCAUAUUGUGGCUGAACCAUCAAAAUAUCUCACGAUUGUUCAUGUUUUCCUAAAGCCAAUAUAUUUAAUUUGGAUGAUGAUAUUUUAAUAAUCUUUUUAAUUUUUUGACAAUAGAUUAUGUAUCACUAUUUUAUUAGUUUGUUUGAAUUUAGUUUUAAAAAAAUAUUUGAAAUAAACCAAUCAUAAAUCAUCACAUAUGCGCUGUCAAAAAAUUGUAAAAAAAAUUGUACAGAAGGGUAAAUAUCAUUAAUGGUCAAUUAAUAUGUUUAAUGACCAUAUUAAAUGCGAAUAUACGCUAUUUAUGAAUGAUUGACAAGUCAUAUUGCACGAGAAUAUGAUAUUAAUGGACAAUUAAAAGAUAUUAUUGAAUUUGAUUUUCUGGUUUAAUGAUUAAUCAAUGCACUUAGCUAUCACAAGCUAUCACUAAGCUAUCACUAAGCCAUCACCCAUCGGAAGAUUGCGUUCUCAAAAAAGAUCAAAAUGAUCGAAAGAGAAUAGAGAAGGAGGGUCAACCGACCCUCAAACCAAUUCCACCGAAACAAUUUAGUUUAUCUCUUUAUUGUUUCUUCUCACUCUUCCCCUUUUGUCUAUCCUUUCACUCCAAUUUAUAAGAAGAAUGUAAUGAUGCUUUUUUUGUUAUCUAUGUAAAUAAAUAAUCAAAGUUAGUUUAUGAUUUCCAAUCCUUCAUAAGUUAGAGAUGUAAUUUAUUAACAAAUAUCCCUUAUGUUUUUUCAACAUUUUAAUUUCACUGGGACUCUCAAUUAGAUUAUCUAUCAAUUCAAAUUCAAUAUUAGAUUCUACUUUUAUAACUUUUUUAUACAUUUUUUUAAGAUAUAAAAACUAAUAAAUUUAUAGUUUAAACUACUAUAGUUCAAUAAAUCAUUUAAAUUAUUUAUAAUCAGUAGAAUGAAUAAAUAAAAGUGCAUUAUUUUUAAAAGCUGUCUGAUAAAAAAAAAAAUAUUGUAGAAAUCAAACUAAAGAAUUAUUUCGUAAUUAUUGAUUAAGUCACACCUAUCAGAUUAUACAUAGAACAAUUUAAUAUCAAUAGUCUUCUUUCUUUUUGUAUAUAAAAUAGUUUAAUAUUAUAAUACUAUUGUUCUUAUAAUUAAAAAAGUAGUUUCAUUUAAAUUUGAAAAAAAAAUUAUACUUAAAAUUGCCAUAAUUUAAUUGUGUUAAUUAUAUAAUAUUAAAAAAACGUAACGAAAGUGAAAUAAUAUAACAAUUAGUAUAACAUGUAUAUAUAAUUUUUUUUACAAAAAGGGCAGAAAAACAUAAAAAGAGAAAAAAGGUGCUGAAGAAAAUUCGUAAGAAACAAAAUAAAUUGUAGAAAAAUACUUGUUUAUAGUAAAAACCAAUAUAAAUUAUGGAAAUAUAAUUGUGUAACAAACAUUAUUAAUAUGUAUGAUAUAACAAUAUUUGUAUUUGAAAAAUAUUGGAACUAUUCAAAUGAUGGAGGUGUGGGAAGAAAUGACGUAUAACACCAAGAUCAACACGUUCUUCUCGUGUAUUAGAUUCAUAUGUGCUUUUGUACCAGCCUUGAGUAAUUAUUCUUACACCCUAUUUUUUCUUUUUCGUGUCCAUAUAGUAUGAAGCAAAUAUCUGAAUGGUUGAUGUCAUACAUUUCUAAAUUAUAUAAUCUAAAUAGUGUAUUUUGUAUACAUACCUGAUUAAAUAAAUUAAUUUUUUUUUUCACAUAUCAACCGGACUGAUACUGACAUCACAAUGACAGUGUAAAGAUUUAAAUAAAUUACAUGUUAAACCUGAGGAAUUAUUGUACUACAAGAAUAUCUCAACCACUUGGUCCAUGAUGAUCUUGACCUGAAUAUAUUCGGACAACAUAAUAUCAUUUCAACCAAAACAUAAUAAUAAUGGUGAAAAGAGAAGAACUUAAUAUGAUGACUAAAAUGUAUUAGUAAAGUAUUAAACAAGUUAAUGAAUGUAAUUAAGUAUGUAGAUUAGUCUCAUUCAAGUAAAAGCCUAUAAAUAAGGUAUAAAUAAAGUAUAGAAGAUAAAUUAAUUACAUUUCAUUAUUAUAGUAUUUAUUAUAAUUUAAUACAUUUGAGAUACUUAAAGGUCCAUGUAUUUUCUACAUACAUAUCUCAUUAUUGAAGAGAUACAGACCUACAAUAUCUAGUCUUAAAAGAUAUAAAAUUGAAUUUGAGAAUACUAUUAAAGAAUCAUUCACGGAGAUAUUUAUAAAGUAUAUUCAACCUUGGAAGAAUAAUAUAAUAUAAUAUAAAAAAUAUAUGUUAUAUUAAUUCAUAAUUUAUAAUUAUUGAAAAGAAAGAUUCAGUUUUUUUUAAGUAAAUUUUAGUAAACGCUCAAUACCUGAGUAGACUUUUCAAGUUGAUAAUGCUUUCUGGGUGAUCUCAAACUUUGCAAUUGUUAUCUUGUCAAAAAAAAAAUCUUGAUACUUUUUAUGUACAAAAAAUUUACUUGUUACUAAUAUAACCUAACUCGCGUUGUUCUUUAGAUCUACUUUGUUCACUCCAAUAGUAUCAGAAAUCAAAUCAAUGCAUAGGAAAUGAAUNCGUUGUCAUACUAUAUAGAAUUCAGACUAUACCACACCACUUCUUUUACUGGAUCUUACGGAGCCUGUUGAUGCAGAAUAAAAUUGAGUCUGAUCAUAGAAAAGAUUCUCUUCAAGUAAAACCAGCCUACCCUAUCUGUAAGAGCCUCUCUUGGUGGUUGGAAAAAAGUCACAUUUAAUUGUAAAUUCUAAUGUGGCAGAUAAGAGAAAGUCAUAUAUCUGCGCGGUCAAAUAAAUAGUUCAAGUCACACUCCCAUAAUCCAAAAAAAAAAAAACAAAAAUUCAAUUUUUGUUAAGUUGAAGAAAAAUAUCUAAAUACAUGUUUUAUUUUUUUUUAUAAUCCAUAAUUGUAACAAUGAAAUAAAAUCCUCCCCAAAAUAAAAAAUGAUAGUGAUUACAUAUAUCUAUGAUCCAUAUUCACAAUAAAGGACCAGAAAUGCCUUGCUUACAUAUCAUUGAAAAGUGCAUUAACAUAAAUACA
RNAcentral lists this long non-coding RNA (27546 nucleotides) under Vigna radiata. Its description in RNAcentral is "long non-coding RNA (VRAD_LNC007131)". The record is from RNAcentral. Lineage: Eukaryota; Viridiplantae; Streptophyta; Magnoliopsida; Fabales; Fabaceae.